GUGCUCACUUCGUAAGCACAUAUACUAAAAUUGGAUUGAUACGGAGAAAAAUUAGCAUGACCCCUGUGCCAGGUUGACAUGCAUUUUUGUGAAGUGUUCCAUAUCUUU
Molecule: small nuclear RNA, 108 nt
Filed under: Choloepus hoffmanni (Hoffmann's two-fingered sloth)
Lineage: Eukaryota; Metazoa; Chordata; Mammalia; Pilosa; Megalonychidae
Source: RNAcentral